Molecule: ribosomal RNA, 454 nt
Filed under: uncultured soil bacterium
Lineage: Bacteria
Description: bacterial SSU rRNA
Rfam family: Bacterial small subunit ribosomal RNA
Source: RNAcentral
AGAACGAACGCUGGCGGCAUGCCUAAUACAUGCAAGUCGAACGAACACUUCGGUGUUAGUGGCGCACGGGUGCGUAACGCGUGGGAAUCUGCCCUUGGGUUCGGAAUAACAGUUGGAAACGACUGCUAAUACCGGAUGAUGACGAAAGUCCAAAGAUUUAUCGCCCAGGGAUGAGCCCGCGUAGGAUUAGCUAGUUGGUGAGGUAAAGGCUCACCAAGGCGACGAUCCUUAGCUGGUCUGAGAGGAUGAUCAGCCACACUGGGACUGAGACACGGCCCAGACUCCUACGGGAGGCAGCAGUAGGGAAUAUUGGACAAUGGGCGCAAGCCUGAUCCAGCAAUGCCGCGUGAGUGAUGAAGGCCGUUAGGGUUGUAAAGCUCUUUUACCCGAGAUGAUAAUGACAGUAGUCGGGAGAAUAACGCCCCCGGACUAACCUCCGUGCCAGCACGCCGAC